CCUACGGGUGGCAGCAGUGGGGAAUAUUGCACAAUGGGGGAAACCCUGAUGCAGCAACGCCGCGUGAGUGAAGAAGGUUUUCGGAUCGUAAAGCUCUGUUAGCAGGGAAGAGGAAGGACGGUACCUGCAGAGGAAGCCACGGCUAACUACGUGCCAGCAGCCGCGGUAAUACGUAGGUGGCAAGCGUUGUUCGGAAUAACUGGGCGUAAAGGAUGCGUAGGCGGUUAAACAAGUUAGAUGUGAAAUAUAUAGGGUAAACAGGUAGAAAGCAUGUGAAACUGUUUAACUAGAGUGCAGAAGAGGAAAGUGGAAUUCCAGGUGUAGCGGUGGAAUGCGUAGAGAUAAGGAAGAAC
RNAcentral lists this ribosomal RNA (353 nucleotides) under uncultured bacterium. RNAcentral describes it as "partial 16S ribosomal RNA". It matches the Rfam family "Bacterial small subunit ribosomal RNA", at positions 338 to 707 of the family's 1533-position model. The record is from RNAcentral.